Molecule: long non-coding RNA, 683 nt
Organism: Cucumis melo (muskmelon)
Lineage: Eukaryota; Viridiplantae; Streptophyta; Magnoliopsida; Cucurbitales; Cucurbitaceae
Exons: 6
Source: RefSeq, a predicted model, not a curated record
UGGAAAACAUACAUGGAAAAUAGAGAAAUUUUCUCAACUUACCAAACGAGAACUUCGAAGUAAUGCUUUUGAGGUUGGAGGCUAUAAAUGGUUGGAGCCAUUUUGCACAGUUUACAAUAGCAGUGGUGAAUAAGGAUCCAAAGAAAUCAAAAUAUUCUGAUACAUUACAUCGGUUCUGAAAGAAAGAACAUGACUGGGGAUGGAAAAAAUUCAUGGAGCUCUCAAAAGUGUUAGAUGGUUUUAUUGACGCUGACACUCUCAUAAAGGCACAAGUUCAAGUGAUUAGAUGGCUUCAGUGAUUGCUGCAAAUCUUUUAACAAGCAUAAAACUCAUAGAUUUGUUAUGCGUUGUAGUGACGUGGGUGUUUUCUAUUAUAAAACUUUAUGCUAGAUUUGCAAGACAUCACAAAAGCAAGAAAGAUACCGAAGCGUGCUUUGCCUAUUAUUUGCUUCAGAGAAGUCAGCCCCCCAUUGUCGGAUGCUUCAAACACUUCCAUUAUAGAUUCAGAUAAUUGAAGUGAUAUCGGGUUGAAAGCUAAGCGAUUGUGUAGAAAUGGUCAAGCGACCGUUGAAAAUUGAAGACUGAGAAGGCAUUUAGGAUUUUUAAUUAUUUAAUUCUUGUAUUAGAAUCUUUUUUCAUGUACUAUUGUAGAAUGUAUAUAUAAACAUAAUAUUAAUAUUUUA